CAUUGCAUCCCUCAAGCUUUGCUUGGUGUUGGGUGGUCGUUCCAAGGGACGCCCCCGAAACUCAGCGGCGAUGCGGCCGUGGUCCCAAGCGCAGUCGGAUGGUUUCAUUCGCUUCGGGAGCCGUGGUCGGGUCCGCCGGACAAGCCCCUAGAACUUUUACGAUUGACCUCGGAUCAGGUAGGAAUACCCGCUGAACUUAA
Molecule: unclassified non-coding RNA, 200 nt
Filed under: soil metagenome
Description: partial contains internal transcribed spacer 2 and large subunit ribosomal RNA
Source: RNAcentral